Apis laboriosa (Himalayan honeybee) is the source of this 665-nucleotide long non-coding RNA. RefSeq lists it as uncharacterized. The record is from RefSeq and is a predicted model, not a curated record. The transcript is spliced from 2 exons. NCBI's taxonomy places the organism in Eukaryota, Metazoa, Arthropoda, Insecta, Hymenoptera, Apidae.
GGACGCUUUUGAUACGCGUGUCUCCAGGAAGGGUGAGAAGAAAAAAGUGCCGACGGUGUGGGGUCGUCGUCCCCAACAAAGAUUCUUUUCGUAUCGUUAUAUCACAUAUGUCAUUAGAACAACUGCUGUUCUGAGAAAGUCGCCUGAGUGGCGAUGCAACGACACUUCUCGUGGCACUCGAGUACUAUUCUGAACACGGGACAGAACUGUCAAGAAAACUAAAAGCGUCGAUUCUAUGAACUGUUACAACGAAUACAAUUUAUCCGAAUGUAAUUUUCACACGAAUAUGUAAUAAUAUUGAACCUGCUUCGAAUGAAAGUUACUAAAUUUUACCCAACACAAAAAUCUUGCAGUAAACAAACUCAAUGCAAUCUCGACGUAUUGUGCAUCACGAGCCUCGCGGCCAUCACUAAUUUCAACUGGCACUGUUAGUGGCGCCAUCGCCUCUUUAGACGGAAGAACAAGGAACUGGACCAUUGCGCGCGCGAUAGUCGUGAAUAAUGGCGAAAUAUGGGUAUACCUGGACGACCUUGUGGACCAGGUGAUCCAGGACGACCUGGACGGCCUCGGCCAGGUGGACCAGGUGGACCUUGUAUCUGUGCUGCCAUCUCAGUCAUCUGCUCUAUAUAUAUACAGCCGCAAUAAAAGGAAUAGUUAUCUUUCUA